Molecule: ribosomal RNA, 460 nt
Filed under: uncultured bacterium
Lineage: Bacteria
Description: partial 16S ribosomal RNA
Rfam family: Bacterial small subunit ribosomal RNA
Source: RNAcentral
CCUACGGGAGGCAGCAGUGAGGAAUAUUGGUCAAUGGACGAGAGUCUGAACCAGCCAAGUCGCGUGAAGGAUGACUGCCCUAUGGGUUGUAAACUUCUUUUAUAUGGGAAUAAAAUGUUCCACGUGUGGGAUUUUGUAUGUACCAUAUGAAUAAGGAUCGGCUAACUCCGUGCCAGCAGCCGCGGUAAUACGGAGGAUCCGAGCGUUAUCCGGAUUGAUUGGGUUUAAAGGGAGCGUAGGUGGAUUGUUAAGUCAGUUGUGAAAGUUUGCGGCUCAACCGUAAAAUUGCAGUUGAAACUGGCAGUCUUGAGUACAGUAGAGGUUGGCGGAAUUCGUGGUGUAGCGGUGAAAUGCUUAGAUAUCACGAAGAACUCCGAUUGCGAAGGCAGCUCACUGGACUGCAACUGACACUGAGGCUCGAAAGUGUGGGUAUCAAACAGGAUUAGAUACCCGAGUAGUC